AUACGUAGGGUGCAAGCGUUAUCCGGAAUUAUUGGGCGUAAAGGGCUCGUAGGCGGUUCGUCGCGUCCGGUGUGAAAGUCCAUCGCUUAACGGUGGAUCUGCGCCGGGUACGGGCGGGCUGGAGUGCGGUAGGGGAGACUGGAAUUCCCGGUGUAACGGUGGAAUGUGUAGAUACCGGGAAGAACACCAAUGGCGAAGGCAGGUCUCUGGGCCGUUACUGACGCUGAGGAGCGAAAGCGUGGGGAGCGAACAGGAUUAGAUACCCUGGUAGUCCACGCCGUAAACGGUGGAUGCUGGAUGUGGGGCCCGUUCCACGGGUUCCGUGUCGGAGCUAACGCGUUAAGCAUCCCGCCUGGGGAGUACGGCCGCAAGGCUAAAACUCAAAGAAAUUGACGGGGGCCCGCACAAGCGGCGGAGCAUGCGGAUUAAUUCGAUGCAACGCGAAGAACCUUACCUGGGCUUGACAUGUUCCCGACCGCGGCAGAGAUGUCGUUUCCCUUCGGGGCGGGUUCACAGGUGGUGCAUGGUCGUCGUCAGCUCGUGUCGUGAGAUGUUGGGUUAAGUCCCGCAACGAGCGCAACCCUCGCCCUGUGUUGCCAGCACGUCAUGGUGGGAACUCACGGGGGACCGCCGGGGUCAACUCGGAGGAAGGUGGGGAUGACGUCAGAUCAUCAUGCCCCUUACGUCCAGGGCUUCACGCAUGCUACAAUGGCCGGUACAACGGGAUGCGACACGGCGACGUGGAGCGGAUCCCUGAAAACCGGUCUCAGUUCGGAUUGGAGUCUGCAACCCGACUCCAUGAAGGCGGAGUCGCUAGUAAUCGCGGAUCAGCAACGCCGCGGUGAAUGCGUUCCCGGGCCUUGUACACACCGCCCGUCAAGUCAUGAAAGUGGGUAGCACCCGAAGCCGGUGGCCUAACCCUUUGUGGAUGGAGCCGUCUAAGGUGAGACUCGUGAUUGGGACU
RNAcentral lists this ribosomal RNA (964 nucleotides) under uncultured bacterium. RNAcentral describes it as "bacterial SSU rRNA". It matches the Rfam family "Bacterial small subunit ribosomal RNA", at positions 523 to 1482 of the family's 1533-position model. The record is from RNAcentral.